UACUAAUUCAAUGCCUCAAUCAAUCUCUUAUAAUGAACCAGUUACAAACAAUACUAAAAGCCAUGCAAAUAUGAAUAGAGUAUCAACAAGGACGAA
This is a non-coding RNA of Arachis ipaensis, 96 nucleotides long. The record is from RefSeq and is a predicted model, not a curated record. NCBI's taxonomy places the organism in Eukaryota, Viridiplantae, Streptophyta, Magnoliopsida, Fabales, Fabaceae.